AUACGUAGGGGGCGAGCGUUGUCCGGAAUGAUUGGGCGUAAAGGGCGCGUAGGCGGCGCGGUAAGUCUGGAGUGAAAGUCCUGCUUUCAAGGUGGGAAUUGCUUUGGAUACUGCCGCGCUUGAGUGCAGGAGAGGUUAUCGGAAUUCCCGGUGUAGCGGUGAAAUGCGUAGAGAUUGGGAGGAACACCAGUGGCGAAGGCGACUUACUGGACUGUAACUGACGCUUAGGCGCGAAAGUGUGGGGAGCAAACAGGAUUAGAUACCCUGGUAGUCCACACUGUAAACGAUGAAUGCUAGGUGUAGGGGGUAUCGACCCCUUCUGUGCCGCAGUCAACACAAUAAGCAUUCCGCCUGGGGAGUACGGCCGCAAGGUUGAAACUCAAAUGAAUUGGCGGGG
RNAcentral lists this ribosomal RNA (397 nucleotides) under uncultured bacterium. Its description in RNAcentral is "partial 16S ribosomal RNA". It matches the Rfam family "Bacterial small subunit ribosomal RNA", at positions 523 to 918 of the family's 1533-position model. The record is from RNAcentral.